ACUCCUACGGGAGGCAGCAGUGGGGAAUAUUGCACAAUGGGGGAAACCCUGAUGCAGCCAUGCCGCGUGUGUGAAGAAGGCCUUCGGGUUGUAAAGCACUUUCAGUAGGGAGGAAGGUGAGUGUAGUUAACAUACCUGCAUUAUUUGAUCGUUUACCUUACAGAAGAAGCAACCGGCUAACUCCGUGCCAGCAGCCGCGGUAAUACGGAGGGUGCGAGCGUUAAUCGGAAUUACUGGGCGUAAAGCGCAUGCAGGUGGUUUGUUAAGUCAGAUGUGAAAGCCCGGGGCUCAACCUCGGAAUUGCAUUUGAAACUGGCAGACUAGAGUACUGUAGAGGGGGGUAGAAUUUCAGGUGUAGCGGUGAAAUGCGUAGAGAUCUGAAGGAAUACCGGUGGCGAAGGCGGCCCCCCUGGACGAUACUGACA
This 425-nucleotide ribosomal RNA is filed under the name uncultured bacterium. Its description in RNAcentral is "bacterial SSU rRNA". It matches the Rfam family "Bacterial small subunit ribosomal RNA", at positions 335 to 745 of the family's 1533-position model. The record is from RNAcentral.